CUGUCCACAGAUCGAGCGCGAUGAAAUGGACAUGACAAUCGAUAGCGCCGGCUGUAAGGAUGAGCUUCUCGCCUGCAAUGACCUCGGUGUUGCUGCCUACGAUCAUGCCGUCCGUAACGCCAUGCAUAACAUCGGGAUUGCCUGCCUUGCCAAUACCAGCAAUGAGACCUUUCUUGAUGCCGACAUCUGCCUUGAAUAUGCCAGAAUGAUCAACAAUGAGCGCAUUCGUGAUGACGCUGUCGAGCGUCUCUGCAUCUGUUCGACCCGUAGCUUGACCCAUCCCAUCUCGCAA
RNAcentral lists this small RNA (292 nucleotides) under Mixia osmundae IAM 14324. Its description in RNAcentral is "5' ureB small RNA". It matches the Rfam family "5' ureB small RNA". The record is from Rfam by way of RNAcentral. Lineage: Eukaryota; Fungi; Basidiomycota; Mixiomycetes; Mixiales; Mixiaceae.